Molecule: ribosomal RNA, 434 nt
Filed under: uncultured Lachnospiraceae bacterium
Lineage: Bacteria; Bacillati; Bacillota; Clostridia; Lachnospirales; Lachnospiraceae
Description: partial 16S ribosomal RNA
Rfam family: Bacterial small subunit ribosomal RNA
Source: RNAcentral
ACGGAAGGCAGCAGUGGGGGAUAUUGCACAAUGGGGGAAACCCUGAUGCAGCGACGCCGCGUGAGUGAAGAAGUAUUUCGGUAUGUAAAGCUCUAUCAGCAGGGAAGAAAAUGACAGUACCUGACUAAGAAGCCCCGGCUAACUGCGUGCCAGCAGCCGCGGUAAUACGUAGGGGGCAAGCGUUAUCCGGAUUUACUGGGUGUAAAGGGUGCGUAGGUGGCAAAGUAAGUCAGAGGUGAAAACCCAGGGCUCAACCUUGGUAUUGCCUUUGAAACUAUUUAGCUUGAGUGCUGGAGAGGUAAGCGGAAUUCCUAGUGUAGCGGUGAAAUGCGUAGAUAUUAGGAGGAACACCGGUGGCGAAGGCGGCUCACUGGACUGUAACUGACACUGAGGCUCGAAAGCGUGGGGAGCAAACAGGAUUAGAUACCCUGGUA